UUUCCUUAGUCGCCAGGAGAUUGGAAACAAUAUUCUUUUGAUGAUUAGUGCACUCCCAGUAAUGCAGCGUGCCUGCCCGAAAGUGAGACUCUUGCGGUGGAGAAGGAAGAGAAACUUUGCUACCUGUGAACUGAAGACUUCGUAGGUAGCAGUGGAAAUGAAAGCAAUUCUGUUUAUGAUAUUGUUCAUUCUCUCCAUAAAUGAGUAACUUGAUGACUUCAGUGGUAUAAAUGCUCAUAAACAAGAAGAAGAAAGGGUCAUCUGCAUUGUGUUCUUCUGGAGACAGGAGUCAGGGCCAGAAAUCCUACUGAAAGACCUACCCACAACGCAGGAAGAAUCUCGCCUGACUGCUUCUCUUCUCAAGACUUCAUCCUGCAUUGAGGCUGAGAUAAAAAUCAUGAUGGGUAGAAGGCAGUUUAGAGCCAGUCCCAGAGCAUCCUCAGAAGGGGUCCUGUGAGGCAUGGCUGGACCACAGGCAACACCGCAACAAACGUUUCCACCGGUUGCCUAAUUCACUUGCCGUGUGCUGUCUUGUAAGUUAAGAGCAAAUCUACCACAGUAGGUGGGAGUGAGGGGAAAAAAGGGGGAGAUCAGGGUUGAAACCUCUGCAUUGGGAGAAUUGCUGUGUUUUUCUGGGUCUGGGCACCAAGAUUUUGUUUGGCUCGAAACAGAGGUAGGGGCCAGCAGCCAAUUUUAUAUUCAAAUCCAAACUUCAUCUUCCAGAAAUUGAAUCUAAUCAUAAAGGUCAUUGAGCUAAAGACAUGUUCCUGACUAAUUGUCUAACAUCUGCUAUGUUGCUCCAUCAUAUUCUUCUUUCUUGUGCAGCCGUAAUCACAUUGAAGUUCAUAACCUCUACCCAGACAUUUUAAAGAACAAUAUUCUGGUGUAGGCAUUGAAUUGCAAAGCAGAUUUAAAUGGAAGGAGAACUAAAAGCAAAGAGAGAGCUCAUAAUGCCCCCGCCCAGCUUAAGGAAGUAGCAUUCCCUUAUUUGUGUCCAUCCUUUUCGGGGUGAGUGAUGGGAUGAACCUGCCUCUCUCCUUUCUUCCCUCUUGGGCUCAAUUUACUUGAGUUUACUUUUUUUUAGUGGAGUGGGAGAGCAUUUCUGGGAGAU
RNAcentral lists this long non-coding RNA (1111 nucleotides) under Struthio camelus australis. RNAcentral describes it as "lncRNA (ENSSCUG00000011474.1)". The record is from RNAcentral. Lineage: Eukaryota; Metazoa; Chordata; Aves; Struthioniformes; Struthionidae.